GGAUGAUUACUUAUGAAUGUGAUGAGGGUGUUAAGCCAAACAUAAAUGUGUGUGUGUGUAGAGGAAAUGAGAAAGGUUUCGGGGACGAAACCUUAUUUAAGGGGGGUAGAUUUGUAACACCCCAAAACCCGAAUAUUUAUAUUCGUUAAAAUGCUGUGAUAUGGUACCUCAAGAAAUAAACAACUAGGCUAAUUAACCUACUUAGAUGUAUGGUUAAAACUAUUAAAAGAUGGAAUGUAAUAAAAUGUUUAACAAAGCAAACAAGGGAACAAACUUGAGGGACCAAAGAUGAACAAGGGGGAAAGUUAUGUCUUAAGUAACAAACACACCCACACAAGCACACACACAUUUCGUGUGUUCUAGAACGAUCAGGGGGAACUCCCCAUGAACCAAACCCUAGUUCUAACACAAUCAUCAAAUUGAGGAGUCAAAUGAAGCUCAAAUUCACAACCAAACAUGAAUUAAGGAUCACCUACUCAAGGGGAUCAUGAGGAAUCAUGUCGAGACGGAAUCAAGCACGGAUGGAUAAUGGGUCAAGAAGUGGCGAGGAAACGAAUAUGAACACGGAUGCAUGAGGUAGUACCAGUCAUGAGGAUAUCCAAGGAUUGGAGAUCGAAGAUCGAGUCACUAGAGAGAUUGUACGGAAACGUUGAUGUACAUAAUGUAGUAAACAUAAGCUAUGUUUUUAACUAGUAAAUAAGAGGAUGACGGAUUUAUGAGAAAGAACUGUGUUAAAGUUAAAUCUUAAAUAAGUUGAGGUAUUUAUAGUGAAAGAAAUUUUAUGGUA
Long non-coding RNA from Helianthus annuus (common sunflower), 787 nucleotides. RefSeq lists it as uncharacterized. The record is from RefSeq and is a predicted model, not a curated record. NCBI's taxonomy places the organism in Eukaryota, Viridiplantae, Streptophyta, Magnoliopsida, Asterales, Asteraceae. The transcript is spliced from 3 exons.